RNAcentral lists this transfer RNA (72 nucleotides) under Felis catus (domestic cat). It matches the Rfam family "tRNA". From Rfam's summary of the family: Transfer RNA (tRNA) molecules are approximately 80 nucleotides in length. Their secondary structure includes four short double-helical elements and three loops (D, anti-codon, and T loops). Further hydrogen bonds mediate the characteristic L-shaped molecular structure. tRNAs have two regions of fundamental functional importance: the anti-codon, which is responsible for specific mRNA codon recognition, and the 3' end, to which the tRNAs corresponding amino acid is attached (by aminoacyl-tRNA synthetases). tRNAs cope with the degeneracy of the genetic code in two manners: having more than one tRNA (with a specific anti-codon) for a particular amino acid; and 'wobble' base-pairing, i.e. permitting non-standard base-pairing at the 3rd anti-codon position. Lineage: Eukaryota; Metazoa; Chordata; Mammalia; Carnivora; Felidae. The record is from Rfam by way of RNAcentral.
GCCUGGGUGGCUCAGUCAGUUAAGCGUCCGACUUCGACUCACACUUCAUGGGUUUGAGUCCCAUGUCGGGCU